AACUGUCUCUUACGGACUAGCCAAUGAAAUUGAUCCUUCAGUACAAAAGCUGGAAUUAACCCAUAAGACGAGAAGACCCUGUGGAGCUUCAAAACCAAAAUCACUAAACAUGCCUCCUGGUUUUUUAGUUGGGGCGACUUUGGAGCAAAAAAAAUCCUCCAAAACAUAAAGUCAUUUAUUAAGAAAAACACACCAAAAAUAAUAUUAUAGACCCAGCAGUACUAGUUUACUGUCUGAUCAAUGAACCAAGUUACCCCAGGGAUAACAGCGCCAUCCUCUUCUAGAGUCCUUAUCGACAAGAGGGUUUACGACCUCGAUGUUGGAUCAGGACACCC
This 335-nucleotide ribosomal RNA is filed under the name Podarcis cretensis. RNAcentral describes it as "partial large subunit ribosomal RNA". It matches the Rfam family "Bacterial large subunit ribosomal RNA", at positions 2014 to 2547 of the family's 2925-position model. Lineage: Eukaryota; Metazoa; Chordata; Lepidosauria; Squamata; Lacertidae. The record is from RNAcentral.